This 392-nucleotide ribosomal RNA is filed under the name uncultured bacterium. Its description in RNAcentral is "partial 16S ribosomal RNA". It matches the Rfam family "Bacterial small subunit ribosomal RNA", at positions 523 to 918 of the family's 1533-position model. The record is from RNAcentral.
AUACGUAGGGGGCGAGCGUUGUCCGGAUUUACUGGGCGUAAAGGGUGAGUAGGCGGUUAUAUGUGUCAGAUGUAAAAGGCUAUGGCUUAACCAUAGUUAGCAUUUGAAACUGUAUGACUUGAGUGCAGGAGAGGUAAGUGGAAUUCCUAGUGUAGCGGUGAAAUGCGUAGAUAUUAGGAGGAACACCAGUGGCGAAGGCGACUUACUGGACUGUAACUGACGCUGAGUCACGAAAGCGUGGGUAGCAAACAGGAUUAGAUACCCUGGUAGUCCACGCUGUAAACGAUGAGUGCUAGGUGUUGGCCAGCGAUGGUCAGUGCCGCAGUAAACACAUUAAGCACUCCGCCUGGGGAGUACGGUCGCAAGACUGAAACUCAAAUGAAUUGACGGGG